CCUACGGGCGGCUGCAGUGGGGAAUAUUGCACAAUGGGCGCAAGCCUGAUGCAGCCAUGCCGCGUGUGUGAAGAAGGCCUUCGGGUUGUAAAGCACUUUCAGCGGGGAGGAAGGCGUUAAGGUUAAUAACCUUGUCGAUUGACGUUACCCGCAGAAGAAGCACCGGCUAACUCCGUGCCAGCAGCCGCGGUAAUACGGAGGGUGCAAGCGUUAAUCGGAAUUACUGGGCGUAAAGCGCACGCAGGCGGUCUGUCAAGUCGGAUGUGAAAUCCCCGGGCUCAACCUGGGAACGGCAUUCGAAACUGGCAGGCUAGAGUCUUGUAGAGGGGGGUAGAAUUCCAGGUGUAGCGGUGAAAUACGUAGAGAUCUGGAGGAAUACCGGUGGCGAAGGCGGCCCCCUGGACAAAGACUGACGCUCAGGUGCGAAAGCGUGGGGAGCAAACAGGAUUAGAUACCCCUGUAGUC
Molecule: ribosomal RNA, 465 nt
Filed under: uncultured Klebsiella sp.
Lineage: Bacteria; Pseudomonadati; Pseudomonadota; Gammaproteobacteria; Enterobacterales; Enterobacteriaceae
Description: bacterial SSU rRNA
Rfam family: Bacterial small subunit ribosomal RNA
Source: RNAcentral